RNAcentral lists this ribosomal RNA (484 nucleotides) under uncultured bacterium. RNAcentral describes it as "partial 16S ribosomal RNA". It matches the Rfam family "Bacterial small subunit ribosomal RNA", at positions 30 to 507 of the family's 1533-position model. The record is from RNAcentral.
AUUGAACGCUGGCGGCAGGCCUAACACAUGCAAGUCGAGCGGAUGAAGGGAGCUUGCUCCUGGAUUCAGCGGCGGACGGGUGAGUAAUGCCUAGGAAUCUGCCUGGUCGUGGGGGAUAACGUCCGGAAACGGGCGCUAAUACCGCAUCCGUCCUGAGGGAGAAAGUGGGGGAUCUUCGGACCUCACGCUAUCAGCUGAGCCUAGGUCGGAUUAGCUAGUUGGUGGGGUAAAGGCCUACCAAGGCGACGAUCCGUAACUGGUCUGAGAGGAUGAUCAGUCACACUGGAACUGAGACACGGUCCAGACUCCUACGGGAGGCAGCAGUGGGGAAUAUUGGACAAUGGGCGAAAGCCUGAUCCAGCCAUGCCGCGUGUGUGAAGAAGGUCUUCGGAUUGUAAAGCACUUUAAGUUGGGAGGAAGGGCAGUAAGUUAAUACCUGGCUGUUUUGACGGUACCAACAGAAUAAGCACCGGCUAACUUCGUG